CAAAAAGAAAACAGGUCUGUCAUUCUUACAAGGAGAACGGGCUAGGGGAAAGAGGAAAGGAGUAAGAGAGAAGAGUGAGUCGUUAACGACAACGGCCCAUCGAGGGUAGUCGAGCGAGAGAACUAGGCGAUUGUAACUCCUACGAGCAGGAGUGGACUUCAGUGGGGGCGUCGACCACGACGGUGUCCCACUGGUAGCUGCCGCCACUAAACCAGUGCCUAAAGUAGAGGGCGUUCCGGCGUCGGAGAACCUAGGUCGAAGUCAUACUGAUACUCCUACGACCGCUCUGAAAGAAGGGGUUCGCGCGUUCGGUUUGCGUAGUAGCGAUAAAGGCGCGCUCCGUCGAGUUGUGUAGCAGGUGUAGGAGAUGUCGCGGUUGUAGGAAGCUUCAAACUUGACGUCUACCUCGACUACCGUAAUUCUGUCCUUGGGUGAUAGUUUAAACUCUCGGUCGACCUCCUUCUGUUACGGUUUGACGGUAACCAAACUCCUACAACUGAAGCUUCACAGCAAGCGGCUAGAUAUUAAAGCACGUCUACCAUGAAUAACCUCCACCAGACUAACGAGCUGUCUCGGCCGACCACAGGCGACCUCCUUCUAUCACGGCUUCACGGUAACCAACCUCCUACAACUGAAGCUUCACAGUAAGCGGCCUCCUUCUACUACAUGUUCCACAUUGGAUAUUAGAUCUCCUGUUAAUUGGGAACUCCGCCUUCACGAAACAAACACCUCUAGCUUAGAGACAUGCAAACACCCUCAAACUUCUCUACCGUAGAGGUAUUUUUUUUAACGCGGUCAAAAAAAUAAUACCCUACAAGACUACCGAGUACAAAAAAAACGCUUAUCGGAGUACCCUACCAACUUGGAUGACCCUAGUACUCAAAAACAACACCUUACUAGAUUAGCGAGUUGGAUAACCCAACAGUCUAACAUUAACACCCUAUAAAAAAAGAAUUUGUCUAGCACCCUACAAACAAAACCGACUAGCACCGUACUAAACUACAGUGUGGGACAAAAAAAACAUUGUACCGUAAACGUAAUUAUUUCGUACUUUUAAACC
RNAcentral lists this ribosomal RNA (1060 nucleotides) under Triticum aestivum (bread wheat). RNAcentral describes it as "partial small subunit ribosomal RNA". The record is from RNAcentral. Lineage: Eukaryota; Viridiplantae; Streptophyta; Magnoliopsida; Poales; Poaceae.